UUAAGAUCAACAAGCGUGGUCUGAAACACCCAUCGGAGGAGACUGAGGCAGAGCUGAGCAGAGCAGGGAGCGUACCUGCGGAGAACUGCAGGGGGAGACGGCUAGACUGGGAGGAGACCUGUUCUCUUCAGUAUAGAGGAAGAGAGAGCCAAGAUUCAGCCUGUGAUCAGCAUGCUCAGGGCCAGAUGUGCAAACAGGUAAGUAAUAAUGGGUAAGUCACCUGACUCCUUUGGGCUACAGGGUUCAUCUGCUUUCAGCUCAGCAGGACUACAGAACUCAAAAGGAGUGGCAGUUUGGUGAGGGAAAUGUGUCUUUACACUGGACCACAGUCCA
RNAcentral lists this long non-coding RNA (333 nucleotides) under Ornithorhynchus anatinus (platypus). Its description in RNAcentral is "lncRNA (ENSOANG00000049400.1)". Lineage: Eukaryota; Metazoa; Chordata; Mammalia; Monotremata; Ornithorhynchidae. The record is from RNAcentral.